RNAcentral lists this ribosomal RNA (597 nucleotides) under Triticum aestivum (bread wheat). RNAcentral describes it as "partial small subunit ribosomal RNA". Lineage: Eukaryota; Viridiplantae; Streptophyta; Magnoliopsida; Poales; Poaceae. The record is from RNAcentral.
ACAGCAGCCCAAAAGGCGUGGGACGUGUUGCCCGAGGAGCAAUCACGGAAACACAUCACUACUGGCUCUGGUGACCUGAACGACAUACUUGGUGGAGGGAUUCAUUGAAAGGAAGUUACUGAGAUAGGUGGUGUUCCAGGAAUGGGUAAAACUCAACUGGGGAUUCAGCUAGCAAUCAACGUCCAAAUUCUCGUGCGCUAUGGUGGCCUUGGCGACAAAGCAUUUUAUAUUGACACAGAGGGCAGUUUCAUGGUUGAACGUGUCUAUCAAACUGCUGAAGGGUGUAUCAGUGACAUAAUGGAGUAUUUUCCGUGCCACCAUGACAAGGCUUCAUCUGGACAAGAAAAUCUGCAGCCUGAGCCUUUCCUAGCAGGCAUCUACUACUUCUGAAUACUAAGCUACACUGAAUACAUUGUGGUGAGGAACUAUCUGAAGAAAUUCCUCGGAGAACAUAAAGAUGUGAGGAUAGUUAUUAUUGAUAGUGUUACUUUCCACUUUCGAUAAGAUUUCGAUGAUCUGGCUCUGAGGACUAGAAUGCUCAGUGGAUUAUCAUUGAAGUUGAUGAAGCUUUCAAAGGCAUAUAACUUGAAACUAUGA